GAUGAACGCUAGCGGCAGGCCUAAUACAUGCAAGUCGAACGCGAUUGCGGUGCUUGCACCGCAUGAAAGUGGCGUACGGGUGCGUAACGCGUGAGCAACCUACCGUUGUCUGGGGGAUAGCCCGGAGAAAUCCGGAUUAAUACCGCAUAAUAUUAAGGAGCAGCAUUGCUUUUUGAUCAAACAUUUAUGGGACAGCGAUGGGCUCGCGUGACAUUAGCUAGUUGGAGUGGUAACGGCACACCAAGGCGACGAUGUCUAGGGGAUCUGAGAGGAUGACCCCCCACACUGGGACUGAGACACGGCCCAGACUCCUACGGGAGGCAGCAGUAAGGAAUAUUGGUCAAUGGAGGCAACUCUGAACCAGCCAUGCCGCGUGCAGGAAGAAUGCCCUCUGGGUUGUAAACUGCUUUUAUCAGGGAAUAAACCCUUCUACGUGUAGGAGGCUGAAUGUACCUGAGGAAUAAGGAUCGGCUAACUCCGUG
Molecule: ribosomal RNA, 482 nt
Filed under: uncultured bacterium
Lineage: Bacteria
Description: bacterial SSU rRNA
Rfam family: Bacterial small subunit ribosomal RNA
Source: RNAcentral